This 69-nucleotide transfer RNA is filed under the name Dendropoma corrodens (ringed wormsnail). RNAcentral's name for it is "tRNA-Val". It matches the Rfam family "tRNA". From Rfam's summary of the family: Transfer RNA (tRNA) molecules are approximately 80 nucleotides in length. Their secondary structure includes four short double-helical elements and three loops (D, anti-codon, and T loops). Further hydrogen bonds mediate the characteristic L-shaped molecular structure. tRNAs have two regions of fundamental functional importance: the anti-codon, which is responsible for specific mRNA codon recognition, and the 3' end, to which the tRNAs corresponding amino acid is attached (by aminoacyl-tRNA synthetases). tRNAs cope with the degeneracy of the genetic code in two manners: having more than one tRNA (with a specific anti-codon) for a particular amino acid; and 'wobble' base-pairing, i.e. permitting non-standard base-pairing at the 3rd anti-codon position. The record is from RNAcentral. Lineage: Eukaryota; Metazoa; Mollusca; Gastropoda; Littorinimorpha; Vermetidae.
GGCGGUGUAGCAUAGCUUUAAUGCGCUUCACUUACAUUGAAGAAGAUCUUUCCUUGGAAAGCAUUGCCU